GUGGCAGCUUGGUUGUCGUAUGCGUGAUGACACGUUCUCGUGUAUUCCAGAAUGACAUCACAUAUAUGGCAGCUAAACUGUUAC
Rattus norvegicus (Norway rat) is the source of this 84-nucleotide non-coding RNA. The record is from Rfam. NCBI's taxonomy places the organism in Eukaryota, Metazoa, Chordata, Mammalia, Rodentia, Muridae.